GGGGAUUUAGCUCAGUGGCAUAAGCACCUGCCUUGCAAGCAGGUGCUUGCAAUCGAUCCCCG
RNAcentral lists this transfer RNA (62 nucleotides) under Cavia porcellus (domestic guinea pig). It matches the Rfam family "tRNA". From Rfam's summary of the family: Transfer RNA (tRNA) molecules are approximately 80 nucleotides in length. Their secondary structure includes four short double-helical elements and three loops (D, anti-codon, and T loops). Lineage: Eukaryota; Metazoa; Chordata; Mammalia; Rodentia; Caviidae. The record is from Rfam by way of RNAcentral.